This 292-nucleotide ribosomal RNA is filed under the name uncultured bacterium. RNAcentral describes it as "partial 16S ribosomal RNA". It matches the Rfam family "Bacterial small subunit ribosomal RNA", at positions 505 to 796 of the family's 1533-position model. The record is from RNAcentral.
GUGCCAGCCGCCGCGGUAAGACGAACCGUGCAAACGUUGUUCGGAAUCACUGGGCUUAAAGGGCGCGUAGGCGGAUUGACCAGUCUGUGGUGAAAUCCUUCAGCUUAACUGAAGAAGUGCCGUGGAUACUGUUAGUCUCGAGGAGGAUAGGGGCAUCUGGAACUGCCGGUGGAGCGGUGAAAUGCGUUGAUAUCGGCAGGAACUCCGGUGGCGAAGGCGAGAUGCUGGAUCCUUUCUGACGCUGAUGCGCGAAAGCCAGGGGAGCAAACGGGAUUAGAUACCCCCGUAGUCC